RNAcentral lists this ribosomal RNA (583 nucleotides) under uncultured bacterium. Its description in RNAcentral is "bacterial SSU rRNA". It matches the Rfam family "Bacterial small subunit ribosomal RNA", at positions 298 to 874 of the family's 1533-position model. The record is from RNAcentral.
GGACGACCAGCCACACUGGAACUGAGACACGGUCCAGACUCCUACGGGAGGCAGCAGUGGGGAAUUUUGGACAAUGGGCGAAAGCCUGAUCCAGCCAUUCCGCGUGCAGGAUGAAGGCCCUCGGGUUGUAAACUGCUUUUGUACAGAACGAAAAGGUUUCUAUUAAUACUAGGAGCUCAUGACGGUACUGUAAGAAUAAGCACCGGCUAACUACGUGCCAGCAGCCGCGGUAAUACGUAGGGUGCAAGCGUUAAUCGGAAUUACUGGGCGUAAAGCGUGCGCAGGCGGUUAUAUAAGUCAGAUGUGAAAUCCCCGGGCUCAACCUGGGAACUGCAUUUGAGACUGUAUAGCUAGAGUACGGUAGAGGGGGAUGGAAUUCCGCGUGUAGCAGUGAAAUGCGUAGAUAUGCGGAGGAACACCGAUGGCGAAGGCAAUCCCCUGGACCUGUACUGACGCUCAUGCACGAAAGCGUGGGGAGCAAACAGGAUUAGAUACCCUGGUAGUCCACGCCCUAAACGAUGUCAACUGGUUGUUGGGUCUUAACUGACUCAGUAACGAAGCUAACGCGUGAAGUUGACCGCCU